AUUGAACGCUGGCGGCAUGCCUAACACAUGCAAGUCGAGCGGACGAAGGGGGCUUGUUCCUGGCUUCCGCUGCCGACGGGUGGGUAAUUCCCACGAAGCUGCCUUGCCUUUGGGGCUAACGUCCCUUAACGGGCCCGGAUACCGCAUACGUCCUUAUGUAGAAACGCGUGGAUCUUUGGACCUCACGCUAUCAGAUGACACUUGGUCGGAUUAGCUAGUUGGUUGGGUAAAGGCCUACCAAGGCGACGAUCCGUAACUGGGCUGAGAGGAUGAUCAGUCACACUGGAACUGAGACACGGUCCAGACUCCUACGGGAGGCAGCAGUGGGGAAUCUUGGACAAUGGGCGAAAGCCUGAUCCAGCCAUGCCGCGUGUGUGAUGAAGGUCUUCGGAUCGUAAAGCACUGUAAGUAGGGAGGAAGGAAAGUAAGAUAAUCUAUUGCUGUUUUGACGUUACCAACAGAAAAAGCACCGGCUAACUACGUG
RNAcentral lists this ribosomal RNA (484 nucleotides) under uncultured bacterium. RNAcentral's name for it is "partial 16S ribosomal RNA". It matches the Rfam family "Bacterial small subunit ribosomal RNA", at positions 30 to 507 of the family's 1533-position model. The record is from RNAcentral.